This 2188-nucleotide ribosomal RNA is filed under the name Triticum aestivum (bread wheat). RNAcentral's name for it is "partial small subunit ribosomal RNA". The record is from RNAcentral. Lineage: Eukaryota; Viridiplantae; Streptophyta; Magnoliopsida; Poales; Poaceae.
CAAUCUUGAAGGAUGUGGUAAUAACUUUUGUAAAACAGGUGAAAUACCCACUGUCUUUAACAGUACCUAUUGAGAAGACUUCUUGAACCAAACCUUCUUCCUUUUUCCCUUUGAUUUUGUUCAAAGUUCCGAUACCUUGGAUAUUUCUACCUUGUCUCACAACGAUUUAGGAGAGUUCAACAUUGGUUGUAUCUAAACGGUCGUCUUAACUCUACGAAGGAGACAUUUUCAUAUAAACUCGUGCGACAUUACUAUGGCACAACGGUCGUAUCAAAGACGUUAUUUACGUAUCAAAAACGAAACCGACUCAAUUUUUUUACAGGUUUCACAAGUAGGUGCUCCACGUGAUGAUUACUAGACAACGGUUUAAACAGUGAAGCAUUCCGGUAGUUUGUAAAAGAACUACUGGGUCCUGGAUAGAUACGUGGACUACAUCCUAGUACACAUCUUCUUUUCCUCAGUAGUACAGGUAACAGCUAAGUGGUUGUUCUUGUUUUGAACGAAACAAGAGGUAGACGGUGACCUUUUCUGAAGUUAGUCGAGUAUGGUUAACAUUUCCACUAACUUUUUUCGAGGUCAUAAUUUUAGACAGAUCUACCUUUAUUUGGUUGACUUUGUCGAAGUUGUGAGGGGGCUCUUCGUGGAUCCUUAAGACUAAAAGUUCCUUCACGUUCGAGGAGUUUCCACAUGGUUUUAUAGCGUGUUCUAUCACCACUGAACGCAUGACAACUUCGGUUUCGUAACUCCUAUUCAAGAACCCUACCUUCUCCUAAAUGGUGUGGUCGCUAUUCCCGUUCUUUCCCACCCGCUUGAACAAUGUCCACGCCCAGAGGUUUAGUGGACUAGUCUAUAACAGGCCAACGUAGUUUACAUGUUAGUCUUCUAUCACGUGAGGUGCCUCUAGGUAUACCAGCUGGAUUAACCGUCCCAAGAUACAAAGUGGGAGAAGACGGUAUACCAUUAUACGUACCGUGUGGACUCUAGUAAGGUAAACUAGGUCCUCAACAGGGCCAGAGUGGAAAACCUCAAGGAGGUAUAUACGGUAGUAAAAUACCUCCGUACGUCUUAGGUAUACGAAAAUACCCUUACUCUCCAUACGGCAGAGGUUACGAUGACCCCCAUGUUGAUGGGAACAGUAUAUGUCCUAACCCAUAAGUACUAUUACAAUUCUCAGUCUUACGAGGUUCACUUUCCCCUCACUCCCUCUUACUGAUACUGUCAUUAAGUCGCCUAAUAGUACUACUCCUACCAUCUUGUAGUGUUCUCGUUAUAGUUGGUCUUUUCUCAAUACUUUCCCCAAUGGUACUUUCAUUGUGUUGUCAAGUUUUUUCCGUGGUGUUCCUAUUUAUAACAUCGGGAUGGGUACUCUUAGACACAAUAAGUAGUCUACAGCUUAAUCAACUAGUCUUUGUAGCUUUCCUUAACCCGAGUAUACCUUCUCUUUACUCCUCGGUGAUGUGGUUCGUUAGAUGAAGGCUUCACGUACUGUAGGGAUUGUAGAGAUAGGUGCUAUGAUCCGUCUACUUGUUCGUCGUACUAUCUUCACGAAGUCCUUUUUCUCUACUUUAAUCCCGUUUUCCGUUUUCACUCAUGUGACUUUUAUGAGCAGUAGUUUCAGUAUUUCUUUUAUAAGCGCACCUAUCCAGUCUACUGUCCCGUGUUUAGAUCAUUUUUGCGUAUACCUGUAUUUGUAGCCCAGGUCCUUUGACUAAUGCGCUGACUGAUGUCUGCACUAUCGUUCUAUCUUUCUAGAUCGGUCUCAAGUUCUGUACUGUUUUGUUUUCAGCCAAGAAGUCAACCGGUGCAUCCUUCCCUAUCUACCCGCUACCUUCUACCGGCAGGUCUACUAAUACUUUCUUCCCUAGUGAUGGCAGUGUUUUGUUUCUCUUCCGUAAUUUCUUACAUGCACUACCAAACAGACACGAGGUAAACGUCGUUCGUUUUCUUCUUUUUUAUAGGCAUACUUGUUUUUGUAAAACGUCACAGUUGACACAACACAGGUUCUCAAAACCGAAUAGGACUUGAAAAUAGCAGACUUCAGCACAUUUAGGACAAUGUAACAACAAUAAUCGACAUUUAGAACAAUCCUCAAUGAACUUCCACAUCAAGUUGUAUAAAAGGGUGAAAGACGGUGUUUACAUCCUUACAUGCUGAGAUUGCCACGACUACAUGUUGCGUACUUUUAAAG